GCGGGGGAUAACUAUUGGAAACGAUAGCUAAUACCGCAUAAAAUUGAUUAUUGCAUGAUAAUUAAUUGAAAGAUGCAAUUGCAUCACUACCAGAUGGACCUGCGUUGUAUUAGCUAGUUGGUGAGGUAACGGCUCACCAAGGCGACGAUACAUAGCCGACCUGAGAGGGUGAUCGGCCACACUGGGACUGAGACACGGCCCAG
Molecule: ribosomal RNA, 203 nt
Filed under: uncultured Streptococcaceae bacterium
Lineage: Bacteria; Bacillati; Bacillota; Bacilli; Lactobacillales; Streptococcaceae
Description: partial 16S ribosomal RNA
Rfam family: Bacterial small subunit ribosomal RNA
Source: RNAcentral